RNAcentral lists this ribosomal RNA (429 nucleotides) under Chloroflexota bacterium. RNAcentral describes it as "Chloroflexi bacterium partial 16S ribosomal RNA". It matches the Rfam family "Bacterial small subunit ribosomal RNA", at positions 355 to 776 of the family's 1533-position model. Lineage: Bacteria; Bacillati; Chloroflexota. The record is from RNAcentral.
UGGGGAAUAUUGCACAAGGGGCGCAAGCCUGAUGCAGCCAUGCCGCGAGUGUGAAGAAGGCCGUCGGGUUGUAAAGCACUUUCAGCGGGGAGGAAGGCGAUAAGGUUAAUAACCUUGUCGAUUGACGUUACCCGCAGAAGAAGCACCGGCUAACUCCGUGCCAGCAGCCGCGGUAAUACGGAGGGUGCAAGCGUUAAUCGGAAUUACUGGGCGUAAAGCGCACGCAGGCGGUCUGUCAAGUCGGAUGUGAAAUCCCCGGGCUCAACCUGGGAACUGCAUUUGAAACCUGCAGGCUAGAGUCUUGUAGAGGGGGGUAGAAUUCCAGGUUUUGCGGUUAAUUGCGUAUAGAUCUGGAGGAAUACCGGUGGCGAAGGCGGCCCCCUUGACAAAGACUGACGCUCAGGUGCGAAAGCGUGGGGAGCAAACAGG